GGAUAAACCAGGAAGAGGCACUGAAGCUAAGUAGAAGUUGAAUAAAUUCGUCUCAGCCUCACAGAAGUUAUAGAGCCAAGAUUUAAGCCCUUCUUAAUCAGCCUUCCCAGGAACCAACGGAUGUCUCCGAGUUUUCUAUUUGAUGCCACCCACCGGACCUGCUUUGGGGGUCUGUAAAUGCAAGAGAGCCAUUGGAAAAUUAGCGAUGGAAGAAAAAGCCUCUAAGAG
This 228-nucleotide long non-coding RNA is filed under the name Rattus norvegicus (Norway rat). RNAcentral's name for it is "long non-coding RNA NONRATT030937". The record is from RNAcentral. Lineage: Eukaryota; Metazoa; Chordata; Mammalia; Rodentia; Muridae.